CAUAUUGCGCAAUGGGGGAAACCCUGACGCAGCGUCGCCGCGUGAACGAUGAAGGCCUUCGGGUCGUAAAGCUCUGUCAGGGGGGACGAACUCUGACGGUACCUCCAGAGGAAGCCCCGGCUUACUACUUUCCCGCAGCCGCGGUAAUACGUAGGGGGCGAGCGUUGUCCGGAAUUACUGGGCGUAAAGGGCGUGUAGGCGGUUUAUCAAGUCAGGUGUGAAAUUCCAGGGCUCAACCCUGGGCGUGCACUUGAAACUGGUAGGCUUGAGUGCAGGAGAGGAAAGUGGAAUUCCCAGUGUAGCGGUGAAAUGCGUAGAUAUUGGGAGGAACACCAGUGGCGAAGGCGACUUUCUGGACUGUAACUGACGCUGAGGCGCGAAAGCUAGGGGAGCAAAC
This 397-nucleotide ribosomal RNA is filed under the name uncultured bacterium. Its description in RNAcentral is "partial 16S ribosomal RNA". It matches the Rfam family "Bacterial small subunit ribosomal RNA", at positions 359 to 773 of the family's 1533-position model. The record is from RNAcentral.